GCCAGGUGUGGUGGUGCACACCUGUAAUCCCAGCAGCUCAGAAGGCUUAGACAGGAGGAUCACGAGUUCAGCUUGCUAAGCAACUCAAUGAGACCCUGUCUCUA
RNAcentral lists this small RNA (104 nucleotides) under Marmota monax (woodchuck). Lineage: Eukaryota; Metazoa; Chordata; Mammalia; Rodentia; Sciuridae. The record is from RNAcentral.